AGUGAACGCUGGCGGUAGGCCUAACACAUGCAAGUCGAACGGCAGCAUCGUAAGAGCUUGCUCUUACGGGUGGCGAGUGGCGGACGGGUGAGGAAUACAUCGGAAUCUACUUUUUCGUGGGGGAUAACGUAGGGAAACUUACGCUAAUACCGCAUACGACCUACGGGUGAAAGCAGGGGAUCUUCGGACCUUUCGCGAUUGAAUGAGCCGCUGUCGGAUUAGCUAGUUGGCGGGGUAAAGGCCCACCAAGGCGACGAUCCGUAGCUGGUCUGAGAGGAUGAUCAGCCACACUGGAACUGAGACACGGUCCAGACUCCUACGGGAGGCAGCAGUGGGGAAUAUUGGACAAUGGGCGCAAGCCUGAUCCAGCCAUACCGCGUGGGUGAAGAAGGCCUUCGGGUUGUAAAGCCCUUUUGUUGGGAAAGAAAAGCAGCAGGUUAAUACCCCGCUGUUCUGACGGUACCCAAAGAAUAAGCACCGGCUAACUUCGUG
RNAcentral lists this ribosomal RNA (492 nucleotides) under uncultured bacterium. RNAcentral's name for it is "partial 16S ribosomal RNA". It matches the Rfam family "Bacterial small subunit ribosomal RNA", at positions 29 to 507 of the family's 1533-position model. The record is from RNAcentral.